This 471-nucleotide ribosomal RNA is filed under the name uncultured bacterium. Its description in RNAcentral is "partial 16S ribosomal RNA". It matches the Rfam family "Bacterial small subunit ribosomal RNA", at positions 30 to 523 of the family's 1533-position model. The record is from RNAcentral.
AUUGAACGCUGGCGGCAGGCCUAAUACAUGCAAGUCGAACGGUAACAUAAGAAAGCUUGCUUUCUUGAUGACGAGUGGCGGACGGGUGAGUAAUAUUUGGGAAGCUACCUGAUAGAGGGGGACAACAGUUGGAAACGACUGCUAAUACCGCAUAAAGCCUGAGGGUGAAAGCAGCAAUGCGCUAUCAGAUGCGCCCAAAUGGGAUUAGCUAGUAGGUGAGGUAAAGGCUCACCUAGGCGACGAUCUCUAGCUGGUCUGAGAGGAUGAUCAGCCAAAUUGGGACUAGGAGCCGGCCCAGACUCCUACGGGAGGAAGCAGUAGGGAAGAUUGCACCAUGGGGGAAACCCUGAUGCAGCCAUGCCGGGUGUGUGAAGAAGGCCUUCGGGUUGUAAAGCACUUUCGGAGGGGAGGAACAAAUGACGUUACCCUCAGAAGAAGCACCGGCUAACUCCGUGCCAGCCGCCGCAGUAA